RNAcentral lists this ribosomal RNA (428 nucleotides) under uncultured bacterium. Its description in RNAcentral is "bacterial SSU rRNA". It matches the Rfam family "Bacterial small subunit ribosomal RNA", at positions 355 to 774 of the family's 1533-position model. The record is from RNAcentral.
UCGAGAAUCUUUCGCAAUGGGCGAAAGCCUGACGAAGCGACGCUGUGUGAGUGAUGAAGGCCUUCGGGUUGUAAAGCUCUUUCGCUUGGGAACAAGAGAGGUUGAUGAAUAAUCAGCUGAUUUGAGGGUACUUAAGUAAAGAAGCACCGGCUAACUCCGUGCCAGCAGCUGCGGUAAUACGGAGGGUGCAAGCAUUAAUCGGAUUUAUUGGGCGUAAAGGGCGCGUAGGUGGGUUUGUAAGUCAAGUGUGAAAUUCCGGGGCUCAACUUCGGAACUGCACGUGAAACUACAAGUCUUGAGGAUUGGCGGAGAAAACGGAAUUCCACAAGUAGCGGUGAAAUGCGUAGAUAUGUGGAAGAACACCGGUGGCGAAGGCGGUUUUCUAGCUUAUUCCUGACACUGAGGCGCGAAAGCAAGGGGAUCAAACA